UAACCUGCCCUUAACUCUGGGAUAAGCCUGGGAAACUGGGUCUAAUACCGGAUAUGACUCCUCAUCGCAUGGUGGGGGGUGGAAAGCUUUUUUGUGGUUUUGGAUGGACUCGCGGCCUAUCAGCUUGUUGGUGAGGUAAUGGCUCACCAAGGCGACGACGGGUAGCCGGCCUGAGAGGGUGACCGGCCACACUGGGACUGAGACACGGCCCAGACUCCUACGGGAGGCAGCAGUGGGGAAUAUUGCACAAUGGGCGAAAGCCUGAUGCAGCGACGCCGCGUGAGGGAUGACGGCCUUCGGGUUGUAAACCUCUUUCAGUAGGGAAGAAGCGUAAGUGACGGUACCUGCAGAAGAAGCGCCGGCUAACUACGUGCCAGCAGCCGCGGUAAUACGUAGGGCGCAAGCGUUAUCCGGAAUUAUUGGGCGUAAAGAGCUCGUAGGCGGUUUGUCGCGUCUGCCGUGAAAGUCCGGGGCUCAACUCCGGAUCUGCGGUGGGUACGGGCAGACUAGAGUGAUGUAGGGGAGACUGGAAUUCCUGGUGUAGCGGUGAAAUGCGCAGAUAUCAGGAGGAACACCGAUGGCGAAGGCAGGUCUCUGGGCAUUAACUGACGCUGAGGAGCGAAAGCAUGGGGAGCGAACAGGAUUAGAUACCCUGGUAGUCCAUGCCGUAAACGUUGGGCACUAGGUGUGGGGGACAUUCCACGUUUUCCGCGCCGUAACUAACGCAUUAAGUGCCCCGCCUGGGGAGUACGGCCGC
This 757-nucleotide ribosomal RNA is filed under the name Arthrobacter sp. 01xTSA28A_C07. RNAcentral describes it as "bacterial SSU rRNA". It matches the Rfam family "Bacterial small subunit ribosomal RNA", at positions 122 to 889 of the family's 1533-position model. Lineage: Bacteria; Bacillati; Actinomycetota; Actinomycetes; Micrococcales; Micrococcaceae. The record is from RNAcentral.